AUGGCGGUGAGGCGGCGGCUAUGGCGCAUGGGCGGCAGGGUGCUGGACUGCUUCGCCGCGUGCGUGGGCGCCGGCGCCGGUUGCGGCUGCCUGUGCGCGCGCACGCUGGGAGACGAGGUGGAGGAGAGGAAGGCCCUGGUGACCGGGAGCAGCCAGGUGGUGAGGCUCAGCGACCUUGUCGUCGAGGGCACGUCGUCGUCCAGGACGCUGGGCUUCCAUCUGCAGCCCAAGACGGUGGAGCUGAGGGUGUCCAUGCACUGCUACGGCUGCGCCAAGAAAGUUCACAAGCACAUCUCCAAGAUGGAAGGGGUGACGUGGUUCGAGGUGGAUCUGGAGCGCAAGAAGGUGGUGGUGACCGGCGACGUGACGCCGCUGGAGGUGCUGCAGAGCGUCUCCAAGGUCAAGCUCGCCCAGCUCUGGAUGCCACCACAACCAUGCUAA
This 441-nucleotide ribosomal RNA is filed under the name Triticum aestivum (bread wheat). Its description in RNAcentral is "partial small subunit ribosomal RNA". The record is from RNAcentral. Lineage: Eukaryota; Viridiplantae; Streptophyta; Magnoliopsida; Poales; Poaceae.